UAAAAACUUUGACAUUUCUGGAUUACCUAAAAACUUAUUUUUCACAAAAAAUAAAGAAAUGUACAAGAAUUUGAUUCCCUAAGCUAUUUUCAACAUAUUGGUAGCAACCUUUUCAAGCAUGGUAUUGGCAAUAUUGUAACUUGUCUUAUUUGAAAUGUUUUGAUUGAUCGAUCUUAUUGUAUUCUAUUUUGGAAUAUCAAAGAUUUCCUUCCCCCAAGAAAAUUUGUGUCAAAAAGCAGUAUUUGACAAAAAAGUCACAUGCAACAUUUUGGAAGCCCAGCGACAAUAACCUAUAAUGAUUGAAAACAUGUACCAUGUGUGUAUACUAUUGUUAGUAGGUAUUAAUUUUCCUGAUUUAAUUGAAGAAUGUGAAAUAUUUUUUCCCAUAUUUCUAAUUCAGAGUUGCUAUGUGUGAAAUCCAUGUCAAGUUAGUACUUUUAUCCCACA
RNAcentral lists this long non-coding RNA (447 nucleotides) under Mytilus galloprovincialis (Mediterranean mussel). The record is from RNAcentral. Lineage: Eukaryota; Metazoa; Mollusca; Bivalvia; Mytilida; Mytilidae.